Molecule: long non-coding RNA, 1248 nt
Organism: Pogoniulus pusillus (Red-fronted tinkerbird)
Lineage: Eukaryota; Metazoa; Chordata; Aves; Piciformes; Lybiidae
Exons: 2
Source: RefSeq, a predicted model, not a curated record
CUAAAGCACAGGUCCUACUCCAAAGUCGUUUUAGGUGCUUACUGAAGACAACUGGAGAAGAUGCCUUGGCUGUAGCCUGGGUAAAGCCUCUUGCGCAGGCAGCCGCACGGGGGCGUCCUUCCCCCUCUCAACAGUGCCGCAGGGACUGCUCUGUCCCUCUCCUUGUCCUCAACGGCGGCUAUGCCGUUCCCGACGCUCACGGCUGACUCUUCCUUUCAGACAGACAACAAGAGCCUGAAACUCUGGCUUCGUUGUGCGUCUUCCUGGCGCUGCCUCCAGCUGCUGUUCCUGCCUCCAAGCCCUUAGGCUGACUAUCCGCUCUGGAUCUCAAGAGGGUGGCUGGGAGGAGACGACAGCUCCUACUCCGCCACCUGUGUCCCAAGGAGUGUCUCCACUGAACACUCUUGAAAUGCGUAUACGAGUCAUGACGUGUUUGCUUUCAUUUCUAGGGAUGCUUGUGAAACCAGCAUCUCCAAGCAAGCCCUUUUGCAGCCUGCCAUCCAACCCUGACUGUCCCAGAUGCGGCAGUACAGCAACAGCCCAAGCUGGAGAGACACCAGCUUUUAGCACCCUGCUUUAUGGGGUUCUAGCUCUGCUCCUCCUCCCAAGAGUUAAGAUAAAUGCUCAGUUCCUCACUGCUGCUCUGCUACCACACAACUGCACUGCAGGGGGCACUGGAAACAGACUGCCACAUCCUCCUGCUCUGCCUCUGUCAGCCCAGAGCUCCUGCCCUUGCCACUGUCAGCCAUGGCUGUUGUCAUGACAGUUUUAUGCACCCAUUGAGAUAAGCACUGAAAGUCACUUAUGUUUUCUAACUACAUCUGGUGCAAAAUGAGCUUUGGCUGCUCUUUGCAACUGGCAAAAGGCUUCUGGAAAGGUGUUCAGCUGUGGCAUCAUCCAGCCCACUCCCAUAGCUGACAUUUUUGUUAUGGCACAGCUACUGUACAAAAACUGAGGCACAAUCAUUCCAAAGCUGUCCUCCAUGUGUUUCUUAAGUUGUCUGAAUCAUAACAUCCAAUGAAAUAAGCACUUCUGUUCGAGGAACACACCAUGUUUAAAGCAGUACUAACUCUAGCCUUUCAUCCCCUGUCACAUACUACUGCAAAACAAAGCUUACAAGGUUUAAGUCUCAUUCUUGGCCAAGAAAAUCUUCCCUGUGAUAUUGCUGCUUCCUAUUUCUUUGUGGGUUUACUUUUUAUUUUAAUUAUGGCUGUUUAAGUGCAUUGGAAAAAUAAUUACUUGACAUAA